AGAUGUUAGUGUGCGGGCUCAGUAGUGUGUGAAGCUCUGCCUGACAGGCUAUAAUGUCCUGUCUUCAUGCGUUAAGCCAACAGAAAUGUACGUUAUCGUGUCUGCCUGUUUAAAUACAGGCAGAACAAAUGCUGUAGUUAAAUGGCCAGGCUGAAUGUGUGUUUUAAAGGAAAGUCUGGGGAACACGCCCUUGCUGUCUUGCCUACCUGUAUGAAAGACAACGCUUUCAACUUCAUUUGAAUGCCCUCAAACUGCGGUCACACCAACGCAUAACCCCAGACUGGAGAAGUUAACCGUAUUUGUUAAUUAUUCGCUAUAGUUUCGAGUUGGUAACAGUGUCGGUUUGGUCAAAUGUAGGUUUUCACAGCGCCCUUUUUAACUAGACACUCACAGUGCCAGUCGAGAGACACAGUAAAAAGUCAAGUAUGUUUCAUACGGUUGACUUGAUCCGCAUUACCCCGGCUGGUGCACCGCAGCUCAGCUGUAAACUGUAACCUGCGGCGGCAGAGUUGACGCGGACGGAUACAUUGUAGUACCCCCAGCCUCUGAAAAGAACCAGGAAGCCAAAAACACAUGGAACACCCGUCUGAAACCACCUCGAUGAGCUUUGGCUUUUUCAAGUAGUCGUACAAAUAGGCUGCCGAGGUGUGAGAGAGCGGGGGGGGGGGGCUUUCGAGGCCACGGUGAAACCAGGGAGUUUCCUGCGUCCUAUGUCCGCCAGCCUGCUGGGUCACAGGUAGGGGCUGGGCCGGUAAACCUGCUCUGGAGCCCCACCAGACAGAUAAGUGAUAAAGUGUUGAUGUUUCCUCACCGGGCACCCCCAGGGUCGCUUUCAAGCCUGACUGCCGACAGCUCACCACCUCUGUCAGCCUCUUGAGUGAGCCAGUUGAUCGCCUCUAGCUCAACAAGCGUCUGCCAGCGGUCCAGCCGAGCAGCCUCCGUGUUGCCCCCACCCGAGGCCCAGCUGCCUGGGCAGGACUGCAUCACCAUGGACACAGAGUCCACUUACUCGGGGUAUUCCUACUACUCCGGACGCUCCCGGGGUUCCCACAGGCACGGGGAGCGAAGCCGCGACCGCCACAAGUCCCGAAGUAAAGACAGCCGCUCAGAAAAAUCUGUAACAAUUAACACGCCACCUGCAGAGCCCCUGCUGGGUGACUCAGGUGUUCGGGGUGAGCAGAUCCAGGAUGACAACUGGGGCGAGACCACCACAGCCGUCACAGGCACAUCAGAGCACAGCCUCUCUCAAGAGGACAUUGUUCGCAUCACCAAGGACCUGGAGGACAGUGUUGGGCUUGACUGCCGCCGUUACUUCACCCUGACCCUGGCCGUGAUCCUGGGCCUGCUGGUGUUUUUGACGCCGCUAGCCUUUCUGGUGCUCCCUCACCUCCUCUGGCCGGAAAAACUGCAGAGCUGCGGCACGGCCUGCGAAGGCCUCUUCAUCUCUGUGGCCUUCAAGCUGCUCAUACUGCUGCUGGCUGUCUGGGCGCUUUUCUUUAGGCCGCCACGGGCCGGACUCCCACGGGUGUUUGUAUUCCGGGCACUUCUCGCUGUGCUGGUGCUGCUCUUUGUGGUCUCCUAUUGGCUGUUCUACGGAGUCAGAAUACUUGAUUCACAGGAUGAGAAUUACCAGGGCAUCGUGCAGUACGCCGUGUCCCUGGUGGAUGCUUUGCUCUUCAUCCACUACCUGGCCAUUGUCCUGCUGGAGCUCCGGCAGCUCCAGCCAUGCUUCUCUGUGUGCGUCACGCGCUCCACGGAUGGCGAGAUGAGGCACUACAACCUGGGACAGCUCAGCAUUCAGCGGGCAGCUCUGGCCAUCUUAGAGCACUACUACUGUGACUUCCCUGUCCAUAACCCAGCGUUGCUUUCAGCCUCCAAGUCCCGUGCAGCCAAGCACCUGGCCGGUCUCAAGGUCUACAACGUGGAUGGUGAGUUCCCAGCAGCCCCUGCUGAGGGUCCGGGGAACAAUGCUGCAGCAGGACUGGCCCACUCCCAGUCCAGAGCCAUGAUCGCAGCAGCUGCCCGCCGCAGAGACACCAGCCACAACGAGCUGUACUAUGAGGAGGCUGAGCACGAGAGGCGUGUCCGCAAGCGCAGAGCACGACUGGUGGUGGCAGUGGAGGAGGCGUUCACACAUAUCAAGCGCAUGCAGGAGGAGGAACAGAAGAAAGCACCAGGGGAUGUGAUGGACCCACGAGAGGCAGCACAAGCCAUCUUCCCAUCCAUGGCUCGAGCACUGCAGAAGUACCUGAGAACCACCAAACAGCAGCACUGCCACAGCAUGGAGAGCAUCCAGCAGCACCUGGCCUUCUGCAUCACCAACAACAUGACGCCUAAAGCGUUCCUGGAGAGCUACCUGGCCCCGGGUCCCACCCUGCAGUACAGCCGAGACCACUGGCUGUCCCGUCAGUGGACUCUGAUCAGCGAGGCAUCGGUAACCAGCGGCCUUAAAGACGGCACGGUCUUCCUGCUCAAGUGUGUGGACUUCAGCCUCGUCGUGACAUCAAAGAAGAUCCCGUACAUCCAGAUGUCAGAGGAGUAUGUCGACCCCAAGUCACACAAGUUUGUCCUGCGGCUACAGUCUGAAACCUCUGUGUAGGACUUAUUUUUUAAAUUCCUCACCCUGUUUUGUUGCUCUCAAAUGUUUUUACUUUGGGUUUGCAGUUUUUAUUUUUACUUUUUUGGAUUUUUUUUUUGUAUAUUAUAUAUGAAUCUAUACGUUACACACAUGUUUGAAUAUAUUGAUCUUUUUAUGUUUGAUUCGGAUGAAAACAAAAGAAAGAUUUGAGGGUGGAUUACGCUCACGGACACAGUUGAGUGUGGGUGUACGCGUGUGUGUAUGUGUGUGUAUGCAUCUGUGUCAUUUUGUGUCCACACAAUUGCGUGUUCCUUUUUUGUUUGAGAUGCUGUGGCCAAACAAGAUUGGAACAUUUGAAGUUUCUGACAACCACACAGGGACUUAGUUGUCUCGGUCGCUUUUUAUUUCCAAAGGACAGAAAGGCAGACAGAGAAACCACUAAGGACUGCAAUGGUGUGACUUGGAUUUUGAUAUUUGAAGCCCGAUGGCAACACAUGACAAAUAUCCUGCCACCUCCUCUGCGAUUUUUUUUAAGUAUUUGUACACUCUUGUGGACUUCAACAAACUGAGAGGAUUUCUUUGUCUCGAAAACCAAAUUACAUGCAUUUGACAAAAAGGUGAAACUAAACUUCAGUCAUACUUUGCAUUAAAUGCACGUUUAUGUAUGUUUCUAAAUUAAAGGAAUAUGCCUAAAAAGGAUAGAACAUAUGAUCCCAGCCUGCUCAAACAGGAUGUUUGACUGAUUUCCUGAUCGCUUCUUCGGGACAUCUGUAGAGCUCCGGACAAACACUUUUCCUGACAGUUGAGAUGUCAGCAGCCCACCUCAUGUCCAGCUUUUGGAAUGCAGUAGCACCCUUGAGUGCUUACUCUAGUGGCCAAAGUAGGAUGCUUUCAACUGUUUUGGUGUGCGAUUCUUCUCCAGGUGCAAUGGAGCAAAAUCAAAAAUAUUUCCACUCCAGUUGGGAACAACACACACACGCCAUGUUAAACACAGAAUGAACCGGAUUAUAAGAGACGCUCAGAGGUGGAUACAUGCCCGAAAACAUUUGCCCUGCCUCAUCGGUUCAGUAACCAUCUCAGGGCUUUCAUGUCUGCCACAUCUGCCUGACUUGAUGAAAAGGGAAGGCAGCUGGGAGGAGAGGCAAAGCCACAAUGUCAGAAAUAAAAAGCACAUCUGAUUACUUUAAAUUCCCCCUCUGUUGGUGAUACAGCAGAAAAUCUAAAUAUUGUAACUUUUCAUAUUAAAAAUGAGUAUUCAAAUAAGUGAGGCCAACAUGAACAACAAUCAUGUUAGACACACCACACUGUUGCUCUGAGUUUCUCUUUUUAACAAAAAAUGUUUUCUCCAUUUUAAUUUUCAUGUUUCUUUUUUAACAUAUUCCUGAUUGAUGUUAAGCUACCACCAUACAAUACUUCCUCAUGAUUUUCACAUUAAAAGCCUGCCUGUAACGGGAUGGCUGCCAGACUUUAGAGCCAUUUUCACCUUCAGACAACAGUGAGCAGUGUAGAGAAACAGGAAACACGGGCGGAGAGAGGGAGGUUGGGAAUCAAACCAAGAAUGUUUUGAUUAUGUAGUAAAGCACCAUAACUGUUAGGCCACCCAAACACCCCAGACUGCCAGUAAGUGUUGGAUUUAAAUCAUAGUACGUAUUAUCGUAGCUUAACAUCUCUGAGGGAAAAAGGCAAAGCAGAACACCUGACGAGACAGAAUUAGUGCUGUGGACAUAUGGUUCUGUCUAAAACUGAGUCGCGGAACAGCCGCUGUUUGAUAAUUUGCCACAGUUAAGGUAUGAUUUCAUCUGUCAGGGCUUACAGGGUUUCCUUGUAUCAUUAGAAUAUAUAAUAGAUGAUAAUGGGUGUACCGGCAGCAAGAGCUGCAGCAGGGCGGAACCUCCCUCCCAACUGGACCGUCUGGUUUUCCUCUGCUCCCUUGUUUCGCCUCUGUUGUCUGACAAACACGUUCACAGUGAAUCCCUUGAGGUCAGCCACUUCACCAGAAGACUCAAAAGGGAUUUUUCCUAACAUUUCUGUCUUGUAAAGCCACACGGAUACAGUUGAAUUAAGCUAAUGUCGCUGAAAUGACACUUUUAUUUCCUGUCAGUGCUUGCAUUUGACUACUUUAUCUUCUUAUAAGUGAUCUGGUAAAAAAUCACCAGAGCAAUUAAAGAAAAUCCCACUGUGCUCAUGUAUAAUGCACUCAAGAAGAAAAAUACAGUAUGUCACAGUAAUACUGUCUUCUGUGCCUAUGAGCAGCGCUGUCCCCUACUGCCCCCUGGCUGGUGACCCUGAUAUUAACAGUUUGUUUCCGAGGGCAGCAGCAGCUUGUUUUCAUAUAAAUCAUAAAGAUACUGCCCAUUUUAGCAAAAGCAUUUUUUCACUCUCCACUUUGUAACUGUUAAGUCAUCUGGAAAGAACUAAAACAAAUUAUUUUGCUAUUUCCUGUGUAAUGCAGUGAUGGCAAAAACCUUUUUUAAACACCUGCCCACUGGUCGUAUUUUGUACCUACUGACAGAUGAACUUUGUAUGAUCCCAAUGUGACUGUGCCUCCUGUUUUUACACUGUAUCUAUUUAUGUAAACAAGUGCGUGUGUGUGUGUGGGUAAGUAUGUAUGUAUGUAUGUAUGCAUGUAUGUAUGUAUGCCAUUCCAGUUCACAUGACCAGCCUUUUCCCCUCUCCUCUACGUCGCCGCCAUCUGUCUCGCUGUUGCCAGGUCACAGUCAUCUGUCAUGGUUUGGUGUUUGUUGGACAGCUUUAAGAUGAAGAUGUGACAUUGCAAUGCUCCUGAAUGCCUCUCAGUUCUCAGAAGUUUACUCUUUCCGUUAAAAGUGGCUGUGAGUACUUUUAGCUGCCAAGGUUAUUUGCGAGGUAUGUGUGUUCAAAACCCACCCCGUGUUUGAUGGCCACUGUGUCAAUUUAGGCUUUUUUGUAUGAUUUUUAGGCACUGACACCAAAACCUGACAUUAUGAAACCGUAAACAUUAUUGUUUAGAUAGUGAUAUGUUAGGAUAUUUCUGAUAUGUGUUUGAUUUUUAUAAUUUUGAUUUAUUAUGUGCAGUUUAAUGGGUUCAAAACUCAUUAAAAUGAAAGACAUGCCUUAAUUAAUACUA
RNA transcript from Scatophagus argus, 5684 nucleotides. It is a transcript of the gene named vang-like protein 1, with no coding region annotated. The record is from RefSeq and is a predicted model, not a curated record. NCBI's taxonomy places the organism in Eukaryota, Metazoa, Chordata, Actinopteri, Scatophagidae. The transcript has 10 exons.